This 77-nucleotide transfer RNA is filed under the name Dehalococcoidia bacterium. Its description in RNAcentral is "tRNA-Arg". It matches the Rfam family "tRNA". From Rfam's summary of the family: Transfer RNA (tRNA) molecules are approximately 80 nucleotides in length. Their secondary structure includes four short double-helical elements and three loops (D, anti-codon, and T loops). Further hydrogen bonds mediate the characteristic L-shaped molecular structure. tRNAs have two regions of fundamental functional importance: the anti-codon, which is responsible for specific mRNA codon recognition, and the 3' end, to which the tRNAs corresponding amino acid is attached (by aminoacyl-tRNA synthetases). tRNAs cope with the degeneracy of the genetic code in two manners: having more than one tRNA (with a specific anti-codon) for a particular amino acid; and 'wobble' base-pairing, i.e. permitting non-standard base-pairing at the 3rd anti-codon position. The record is from RNAcentral. Lineage: Bacteria; Bacillati; Chloroflexota; Dehalococcoidia.
GCCCUAAUAGCUCAGCUGGAUAGAGCAUCGGCCUUCUAAGCCGAGGGUCUCAGGUUCGAAUCCUGAUUAGGGUACCA